GGGCUGUGGCUCAGUGGCAGAGCCUCUGCUUUGCAUGCAGACGGUGUCCUACCUAAGGCUCAAUCCACAGCAGCAUCU
Podarcis lilfordi (Lilford's wall lizard) is the source of this 78-nucleotide non-coding RNA. The record is from the annotation of a GenBank genome assembly. NCBI's taxonomy places the organism in Eukaryota, Metazoa, Chordata, Lepidosauria, Squamata, Lacertidae.